GUAGGUGAACCUGCGGAAGGAUCAUUAUUGAAUUUUUGAAGGGGGUUGUAGCUGAUCUUUUAGAUAUGUGCACACCUCUUGUCAUCUAUACACCCACAUGUGCACUUUUGUAGGCUUUUCAAGGCCUAUGUUUGCUUCAUACACACACAUUGUAAAAGAAUGUUAAUUGAUAAAAUUUAAUACAACUUUCAACAACGGAUCUCUUGGCUCUCGCAUCGAUGAAGAACGCAGCAUCUGACUGACUCGGGCA
RNAcentral lists this unclassified non-coding RNA (250 nucleotides) under plant metagenome. RNAcentral describes it as "partial contains small subunit ribosomal RNA, internal transcribed spacer 1, and 5.8S ribosomal RNA". The record is from RNAcentral.